Long non-coding RNA from Gallus gallus (chicken), 1465 nucleotides. NCBI's taxonomy places the organism in Eukaryota, Metazoa, Chordata, Aves, Galliformes, Phasianidae. The record is from Ensembl.
GUGGGCCUGAUGUGAUGGGAGUUCAUUUGAAGCCUCAGUCUGGAAGCUGGUGCAGGUUGCUUAGGUGCAGGCUGAGCUCCUGAGGAGCUGUGGGGAUGUAUGCAAAGAUGGUUUUCAGCCUAAAGAAUUAGAGCAAUUUGUGAUGUGACUACUGAGUAGCAUUCCAGGGACAACGUGUCUCCUUCAACACUAAUUAAAGGUAAUUCAAAUGUGUGGCUUCUAACUACUUGCAGAGGACAGCUUAGUAUUGCUAACACCAUGUGGUGUUCGAAGCUGAGAGGUUCCUUGAGUCCCAGGACAGCAUGAACCAGCAUCCCUUCACAGUGCCUCUGAUGGUACCGCAUAUUGGACUUGCUGCAGCACACCAGGGAGGAAUGCUUGCAGUUAGCAGCAAAUAAAACAGCCACCAGCCAGACUUUUUGCCAUGUUCCACAGGAGACGUGAAGUGCUGGUGGAUAAUUCUGCAUGGCUGAUGAAAAUGUGUGGCCAAAGUAUCUCAGGCUUAUAUGGAGAGGUGACUAAGGAGGAAUGGCCAGCCAACCUCAAACCUCAGAUAGCUGCAAAAAACCACCAGCCCUGGAGCGUAUUAUCCUCCCAACAGACACUGUGUUUCUGCUGUAGGAGUACAGUGAACACACGGGUGCUGCAACCUGGAAAUCCAUCAGCAGUGAGGCUGUCUGAUUUGCCCCAGAGUUACCCAAACUGGAAAUCUCAUCAGCAGGAAGAGGGACUGCAGUCACCGUGGGGACUUGUGGCAAGGUGUUGGUGUGUCUGAGAAGGUGACUUACUGGAAACACUGAACAGACAGAAGUAGAAACUAGUCAUGUCAGAGACCACUCGGCAGCUGGAUGGGAUUCCUUGCGUGAUUCAUCCACAAAAAUGACUGCUUUGCCUGACGUCGUAUUUCCCCCCCUUUAUUUAGAAUGCAGCUUUGGCUGCCGUGGCUGUGGUCCAUUGUCUGGAUUGCUUUUUGAUGGCUGGGUGGUACGGAUAGCAUCCUUGUAUUCUCAUGAUUUCUAAACCACUGCUCGGACCAGGGGGGAAAAAGACAACCAAAUGAAGGGCUUCGUCACUCCAGAAGCCCUCAGUGGAAUGAACCUGUAAUCUUAGGAAAUCAAAGGGGAAUCUGGGGAAUGUGUCAUUUUUAGUGUCUUUAAGGCAGCAAAAUUACAAGUGAGAAUAGCUGCCUGUAAAUUGUGUUUAUGGAGUUAAUUGACAGGAAUAGUAGAGAAGGGAAAGUCUGGAUGAAAGCCUCUGGGUCUGAACUGCUCUGUUUCAGGAGGAGGUCUAAAGGAAGGACCGUCACCUGAUGCAACCAAAAUGUACCGGGAUGCAUGGAUCAGUUACUGUGCCUCAGCAGAGGAAUUCAUAGUGAUGCUGCCCUGUGGCAAUGCUGUGACCACCCAUUCUUGUGAAACUCACUCAAAUGUUUGCAGGAUUACUGAGCUGCACAAACCAGCAGUGG